ACAGAGGGUGCAAGCGUUAAUCGGAAUUACUGGGCGUAAAGCGCGCGUAGGUGGCAAAGUAAGAUGGGUGUGAAAUCCCCGGGCUCAACCUGGGAACUGCAUCCAUAACUGCUUCGCUAGAGUACGGUAGAGGGUAGUGGAAUUUCCUGUGUAGCGGUGAAAUGCGUAGAUAUAGGAAGGAACACCAGUGGCGAAGGCGACUACCUGGACUGAUACUGACACUGAGGUGCGAAAGCGUGGGGAGCAAACAGG
RNAcentral lists this ribosomal RNA (252 nucleotides) under uncultured bacterium. Its description in RNAcentral is "partial 16S ribosomal RNA". It matches the Rfam family "Bacterial small subunit ribosomal RNA", at positions 525 to 776 of the family's 1533-position model. The record is from RNAcentral.